Asterias rubens (European starfish) is the source of this 2401-nucleotide long non-coding RNA. RefSeq lists it as uncharacterized. The transcript has 8 exons. The record is from RefSeq and is a predicted model, not a curated record. NCBI's taxonomy places the organism in Eukaryota, Metazoa, Echinodermata, Asteroidea, Forcipulatida, Asteriidae.
GCUGUCCAUUGAUGAUCUCCAUAUUCCUUGCCAAAACAAAAAAGGGUCGACUUUUGCCAAGAAUCGAUUCCAUGUUUUGUUAUCUUUCUACUACUUUUGCCUAUCGAUUAGCGUUAUGUUUUCAAAAACUAGUGUUCUUUAAAAUAUCGACUUUAGUAACCGGCUUGUGUUUCGGUUACUUCUAUUAUUCGGACAUCGGUAUCAUUGGGUCUGUUCUUCGCGCGCCAGACUAUUUACAGCGAGGCGAGCAUCGAUCGAUGCGAAGUGAUCAAUCUGAUGCCGAGGGACAGAGAGAUGCCAAUGUCAGAUGAAGUCUACCCCUCCAAAAGUAGAUGCAUGAUGGGCAUGCUGCCCAGUGUCAAAGUACAACGAUGUCUUCCCAAACAAAAGUGAAGGUUGUCAUCUCCACAGAGAUCUACUCAUCACCCAAGAAGAUGUCUGACACCUGCAGUUGAUGAGCUUCCUAACAAUGCGCAACGAUAAAUGAACUGCUCUCUCCUUGAUAAAAAAGCUACAGACAGAUGCCGUUGGCGGAUGAAGUCUACCUCUUGAAAAGUAGAUACAUGAUGUCCAUGCUGCCCUGCGUGUCAAAGUACAACAAUGUCUUCCCAAACAAAAGCGAGGGUUGUCAUCUCCACCAAGAUCUACUCAUCAACCAAGAAGAUGUCUGAGACCUGCAGUUGAUGAGCUUCCUAACAAUGUACGAGUCUGAUAAAUAAACUGCUCUCUCCUUGAUAAAAGCUACAGACAGAGGCCAUUGUCAGAUGAAGUCUACCUCCCCAAAAGUAGAUGCAUGAUGUCAAUGCUACCUAGUGUCAAAGCACAGUAAAGUCUUCUCCAUCAACAGCGAGGGUAGUCAUCUCCACAGAGAUUUACUCAUCAACCAAGUAGAUGUCAGAGACCUGCAGUGGAUGAGCUUCCUAACCAUUUACAUUGAAUCAGAUGGUGUCUACCUGUUACACAUUUCUGAGACCUGCAACUGCGUAUAGUCAGCCCACUGUCUACACAUCACCAGUUAAGAUGUGUGAGGGUUACGCAAGAGGAAGGUAAAAUACCUGUGGUUGUUUUACACUAACAUCAAAGGGUGGUCUGUUUUUGCAGCACUCAUACCAACAGAAUAUCUCGUCACAUACCACAACAUUUUUGGGGAUGAAAUGCUGGCACCAGCCUAACCCGAAAUGAGAGGUCUGUCCCUACAGAUUGAGAACAGAUUUAAAAGAUAGGAAACAUGUUUUUGAUUAACAAAACCCCUUUAACUGUACAAAAAUACAAUUUUAAAUAUGUAAACAGUUUUUUCGUACAAACCAUAUUUCUUCUCAAGUUAAACCAUAAACUAGGAAUGAAAUUAUUUUGCAUUGUAUGAUGAUAAGUAAAAGAUCUGGAAUGUGCUGAAGACCAUGCCUGACCUAAAACAAAUUUACACAAAUUUAGUUCAGGCAAAUCAGUUGCAAUUUGUUUAAGGUACACUUUGGCAAAAUUGAUCUGAAAAUUAAAAUGAUGAAUAAAUGGAGUCAUCAUUACUGAAUCACCAUAUUUUAAUGACAAGGGAAAUUAAACGCCCCUAGUUAGGGCUAGUUCAUAUACUAAUAAUAAUAAAUAGUAAUAAUAGCAAAUAUUAUAAUAGUGGCAAUUUAUAAUGUGCCAUGUCUGUCUGAAAGACACUCCUGGCGCAGGAGAGAUGCAGAAGCAAGAUUGCAAUGAGUUACAUAGUUAAGCAUAAAUAGAAGUUUUUGACUUCCUUUUUUGUGUCCCGUUACAUCUUGGGACACCUCAAUGUUUCCAUUUCACAGCAUAAAAAAAGCUGAUAUCCUAAAACUUAGAGAGUAGCAAAUAGCUCUCAUUACAAUACUGAAAGCUUCAGAGUUUGAGAGAAAAAGUAGUAUUAUUAAAACCUCAAGGUCUUUGAGGCAUUAUAUAUAUAUGAAGGAAUCCUAAAUGAGCAACCAGCUUGUUGAUUUCAUUUGUAAGUAGACAUGUUAAUUAGCUAAUGUCGGAGGUAGAUGUAAUAUAACAUUCAAGUAAAUGUUCUUGUAAAAAGUAAGUGUACCAUUUGCAAGCAAGCACACAAUGUGUGUAUUUUGAACUCACAAAGUUGGAGAAAAAUGUACUAUUUCUUGGGGUGGAAUACUUCUUGAGAGAGUGGCUUUAAGAUUUCAGAAAAAUAGUGGGUUUUGUAUAGACUUUUGUUACCAGGAGGAAAAAACCUUAUCUAAAAAUUAGAUUUCUUGCAAGGUACACUUAUUUUACUCCACAACUUAAAGCUUUACAAAAUUGUUAAGUAAACUCAUAGGUCAAUAAUUAUAAGUAGCCAUAGUCUUUGCUCUUAAUGUUGUUGACUUAAAGACACUGGACACUCGUGGUAAUUACUCAACAUAAUUGUUAGAAUAAAAACUUACUUGGU